RNAcentral lists this long non-coding RNA (2107 nucleotides) under Nicotiana benthamiana. RNAcentral describes it as "long non-coding RNA (NBEN_LNC036644)". The record is from RNAcentral. Lineage: Eukaryota; Viridiplantae; Streptophyta; Magnoliopsida; Solanales; Solanaceae.
UCAAUUAAAGGUGAAAUUAUUUCCUGUUUUGAAUAACCUUUUUACUCCUAUAACCAGACAGCAUAGAGGUGAGAUAUAACUUGAUCAGAAUCAAUGACUAAUUUGAUAGGUUUACACAGAAUACAUAGAUCGAAUUGGCUAACAAAUGCAUCUUUAACCAUCCAACUAAUUACCAAACAUGAGAUUUCUAAGCGAAUUAACAUUCCACUACCAAAGUAUAAUUAGAACUGCAGUUCAAAUUACACAAUACAAAAGUCCAUAAGAUACCAGAGAAUGAAUUGGUAAACUUGUAGUCAGUUAUACAUUCAGUAAUCCAACACAUGCUUGGGAGUUUUAUUCAAUAGGCAAGGUUUGCCAGCACUUCAUUUCACUUCAAAUGAUUUGAGAGACACAAAUGUGUACCUGAAUAUUGGACAGAAAUGAGAGAAGCGAGGUCAGUUCAAGCCAAUAACAAGCAACAGCACAGCAAAGCCACAACAAUAACCCAAUAGUGAUUUCACCAAAUCAACAACAACUACUACUAAUACCCAGUAAAUCCCACAAAGUGGCGUCUGGGGAGGGUAAUGUGUACGCAGACCUUACCCCUGUCCCGGCAGGGCAGAGAGACUGUUUCCGACGAUAUACCCUCGGCAAAUCAACAAGGAAUAAUAACUCCAAAAAUACCCAACAUACCCAGGAAUGACAAUCAUUCAUAGUAAACACCCACUAGCCGAUCAAAAACACUUGAAAUUAACUCUAGUAAACCUCUGAAACUUCAGCAAUCAAACAGAAAACCAGAACAGUAGAAACAGGGCCAAACAACUUGAAACUUGAACUUAAAGGCUCUAGAAGUCCAAACUAACAAUUGGAAUUGCAAAAAAAAAAACUCCAAUGUAACAAUAUAAUUUUUGAGUUUUUUGGAAGUUUUCUAAUGUUUUUGAGUUUUUGAAACUUUGAAAUUCGAAAUUCGAUCUAAGAAGGCAGAAAUUGCUUGGGGGAAAUUUUUUAUGCCCCUAUUACCCCUGAAAUUAUAUCAUUACUACUAUGAAACCAUUUUCCUAUACCCAAUAUACCCUCCCUUCCUUUUGUUAAUUACUACCAAACCCCUUUUAUAUCACCAAAAUGCCCCUGAAACUAUACUGAAUUUACUGGAAUAAAACUACUGUUAUUCAACCCUUUUACCCCUGAAUUUAUUUAACCCCAAUUUUAAUUCCACGAUUAACCAAUUACUAAUCAAAAAUCUAACAGCUAUAACCAUUCCUAAUUAUCAAUCAGAAAUUAACAAACAGGAGCAAUUCAAAUCACUGCCAGUGAACAUAAAAAUCUAAUUAACUACUGAUUUAUCUUUAUAUUGAUAUCGAAUUUAUUUACUGAUCAGAAUUUAUACUAACUAUUACUCAAAAUUAUAAACCCUAAUAGUAUCAAUUUUUAGAAUUAAAACCUAAUAAUUGUAUUUUAAAACAGAAAUUAAGUAAACCAUAAUAAAACUAAUAACAAAAGUAUCAACAGAAAUCAAUAAAAACAUGAUGACAUAAAAGACAAACGCAUGCAAAAAUAAAAGAUAACUUAAAACAGAAAAUAAAGAAAAGGAUUUGAACAACUUAUCUUGGUUUCUCUUUUUUUAUUAGCUUGCUUCGAUCACUUUUUGAGCAGAAUUUAUUUGAAUCCUUUAGGAUUCAUGAUCCGUAACAUACCCAAUGGUGUGUUUUCUAAAAGAAAACACCUAUUAGGUGUGUUACGGUCAUGAAUCCUCAAAGAUUGACCGGGGAUUCUUGAUCAGAAAAUUUAAAAAAAUGAAAUUCGAGGAUUUCUAGUGGGUUUUGAGACAGGCAGAUAUGGGAAAUGGAUAGAGGACACUUAGGCGUAACUAUGGUGUAAAUUAGGGGUUAUUUGGAUGAAGUGUUGUUCGCCGGAGUUAGGGUUCCGGCGAAACAAAAUUGAAUAUUCGAACAGAACGGGCAAUAUUUGAAGGAAACCAAGUAGAGGGGUGGAAAGAGGGUUUAAGGUGGUCAUACGGUGUAAUUUUGGUGAAGUUUGGCAUAGGAUGUAUUUCCUGCCGGCGAGAGUCCCGGCGGGGUUGAUGGUGGAACAGGGGCGGCUGGGAAAGGAGGAAGACGAAGUGAUUAUA